AUGCAGGGCACCAGUCUAGUGAGGACCAGUGGUUGCUUGGCAGUUUCUGGAUCCCAGGUUCUAGAACAGCUUUUAUCCCAGUUCUAUCUAUCUGUUAAAUCAGUUUCUGUACCACAGGUUCUAGAACAGCUUCUAUCCCAGUUCUAUCUGUCUGUUAAAUCAGUUUCUGGACCACAGGUUCUAGAACAGCUUCUAUCCCAGUUCUAUCUGCUUGUUAAAUCAGUUUCUGGACCACAGGUUCUAGAACAGCUUCUAUCCCAGUUCUAUCUGCCUGUUAAAUCAGUUUCUGGACCACAGGUUCUAGAACAACUUCUAUCCCAGUUCUAUCUGCCUGUUAAAUCAGAUUCUGGACCACAGGUUCUAGAACAGCUUCUAUCCCAGUUAUAUCUGCCUGUUAAAUCAGUUUCUGGACCACAGGUUCUAGAACAGCUUCUAUCCCAGUUCUAUCUGCCUGUUAAAUCAGUUUCUGGACCACAGGUUCUAGAACAGUUUCUAUCCCAGUUCUAUCUGCCUGUUAAAUCAGUUUCUGUACCUCAGGUUCUAGAACAGCUUCUAUCCCAGUUCUAUCUGCCUGUUAAAUCAGUUUCUGGACCACAGGUUCUAGAACAGCUACAAUCCCAGUUCUAUCUGCCUGUUAAAUCAGUUUCUGGGCCACAGGUUCUAGAACAGCUUCUAUCCCAGUUCUAUCUGCCUGUUAAAUCAGUUUUUGGACCACAGGUUCUAGAACAGCUUCUAUCCCAGUUCUAUCUGCCUGUUAAAUCAGUUUCUGGAUCACAGGUUCUAGAACAGCUUCUAUCCCAGUUCUAUCUGCCUGUUAAAUCAGUUUCUGGAUCACAGAUUCUAGAACAGCUUCUCUCCCAGUUCUAUGUGCCUGUUAAAUCAGUUUCUGGACCACAGGUUCUAGAACAGCUACUAUCCCAGUUCUAUCUGCCUGUUAAAUCAGUUUCUGUACCACAGGUUCUAGAACAGCUUCUAUCCCAGUUCUAUCUGCCUGUUAAAUCAGUUUCUGUACCACAGGUUCUAGAACAGCUUCUAUCCCAGUUCUAUCUGCCUGUUAAAUCAUCAACCUGUUUCCAUCAGACUAUUAGAACAUGA
RNAcentral lists this long non-coding RNA (1095 nucleotides) under Oncorhynchus mykiss (rainbow trout). Its description in RNAcentral is "lncRNA (ENSOMYG00000048332.1)". The record is from RNAcentral. Lineage: Eukaryota; Metazoa; Chordata; Actinopteri; Salmoniformes; Salmonidae.